RNAcentral lists this ribosomal RNA (223 nucleotides) under uncultured bacterium. RNAcentral describes it as "partial 16S ribosomal RNA". It matches the Rfam family "Bacterial small subunit ribosomal RNA", at positions 28 to 253 of the family's 1533-position model. The record is from RNAcentral.
GACGAACGCUGGCGGCGUGCUUAACACAUGCAAAUCGAGCGGUAAGGCCCUUUCGGGGUACGACGAGCGGCGAACGGUGAGUAACACGUGGGUGACCUGCCUCUAGCUCUGGGAUAAGCCUGGGAAGCUGGGUCUAAUACCGGAUAUGACCUCGCGGUGCAUGUUGUGGGGUGGAAAGCCUUGUGCGGCUAGGGAUGGGCCCGCGGCCUAUCAGCUUGUUGGU